CGAGGACGAACGCUGGCGGCGUGCCUAAUACAUGCAAGUCGAACGGUCUUUCUAUGGAAGCUUGCUUCCACUGAGAAGAUAGUGGCGAACGGGUGAGUAACACGUGGGUAACCUGCCCAUAAGAGGGGGAGUAACAUCCGGAAACGGGUGCUAAUACCGCAUAGUUUUCUUGAUCGCAUGAUUGAGAAAGGAAAGACGGCCUUUGUGCUGUCGCUUAUGGAUGGACCCGCGGCGUAUUAGUUAGUUGGUGAGGUAACGGCUCACCAAGACGAUGAUACGUAGCCGACCUGAGAGGGUGAUCGGCCACAUUGGGACUGAGACACGGCCCAAACUCCUACGGGAGGCAGCAGUAGGGAAUCUUCCGCAAUGGACGAAAGUCUGACGGAGCAACGCCGCGUGAGUGAAGAAAAGGUUUUCGGAUCGUAAAACUCUGUUGUCAGAGAAGAACAAGUUGGAGAGUAACUGCUCCAGCCUUGACGGUAUCUGACCAGAAAGCCACGGCUAACUACGUGCCAGCCGCGGC
This 523-nucleotide ribosomal RNA is filed under the name uncultured bacterium. Its description in RNAcentral is "bacterial SSU rRNA". It matches the Rfam family "Bacterial small subunit ribosomal RNA", at positions 26 to 518 of the family's 1533-position model. The record is from RNAcentral.